RNAcentral lists this long non-coding RNA (471 nucleotides) under Suricata suricatta (meerkat). RNAcentral describes it as "lncRNA (ENSSSUG00005004252.1)". Lineage: Eukaryota; Metazoa; Chordata; Mammalia; Carnivora; Herpestidae. The record is from RNAcentral.
CGGUGUUUUGCUCUGUCAGCCAUGCCGUCUGUUGUGGGGACUCCCUGUUUGUCUGGCACUGGGCGCAAGUACCCUCCAUGACGUGGUUGUUCUGCACAGUGAGUGGAGCGGGACCAGAAAAACCCUUCUCUACCUCCUCCUCUGCUCCUGGGGGUUGUAAAUCUUCUGGCAUGCUGCCUGGAGCCUGCUUUCCUUUUCUCAUGUGGGAGAGAGCAUCUAGCACCCUGUCCGAGCCAGUUACGGGCUGGUGGGAAGGAGAUGUGUGAGCGGGGCUGUGCUGGCAAAACUCAGAUCUUUCCUCUUAGGUUUGUGUGGAGUUGUUCUUACAUCAGGGGCCCUCAGUUGAAUAACCAGUCUGAUCCCUACUCCUGUGUAUCAUCCGGUCUUCUAUUUUGUUUGGCCCACCAUCUUUGCAACUCGGGUGAAGUGGGAGGUUCAACUGGUCUGAGAACACUUGAUGUACUCCAUUGA